This 409-nucleotide ribosomal RNA is filed under the name uncultured bacterium. RNAcentral's name for it is "bacterial SSU rRNA". It matches the Rfam family "Bacterial small subunit ribosomal RNA", at positions 355 to 776 of the family's 1533-position model. The record is from RNAcentral.
UCGAGAAUCUUCCGCAAUGGGCGAAAGCCUGACGGAGCGACAUUUCGUGAUGGAUGAAGCCCUUCGGGGUGUAAACAUCUUUUAUCUGGGAAUAAAUUAUUGAAGGUACCAGAUGAAUAAGGGGAUCCUAAUUCUGUGCCAGCAGGAGCGGUAAUACAGAAUCCCCGAGCGUUACCCGGAUUUAUUGGGCGUAAAGGGUCUGUAGGUGGUAGAGUAAGUUACAAAUUAAACUUCAUCGGCUUAACCUUUGAACUGUUUGUAAUACUGCUAUACUAAGAGGGCGUUAGAGGCAAACGGAACCGACGGAGUAGGGGUGAAAUCCGUUGAUAUCGUCGGGAACACCAAAAGCGAAGGCAGUUUGCUGGGACGACCCUGACACUGAGAGACGAAAGCGUGGGGAGCAAAAAGG